CCUACGGGAGGCAGCAGUGAGGAAUAUUGGUCAAUGGGAGAGAUCCUGAACCAGCCAAGCCGCGUGAGGGAAGACGGCCCUAUGGGUUGUAAACCUCUUUUGUCGGAGAACAAAACCCGGGACGUGUCCCGGACUGCGUGUAUCCGAAGAAAAAGCAUCGGCUAACUCCGUGCCAGCAGCCGCGGUAAUACGGAGGAGGCGAGCGUUAUCCGGAUUUAUUGGGUUUAAAGGGUGCGUAGGCGGUCCGUUAAGUCAGCGGGAAAAUUGCGGGGCUCAACCCUGUCGAGCCGUUGAAACUGGCAGACUUGAGUUGGCGAGAAGUAGGCGGAAUGCGCGGUGUAGCGGUGAAAUGCAUAGAUAUCGCGCAGAACUCCGAUUGCGAAGGCAGCGUACCGGCGCCAGACUGACGCUGAGGCACGAAAGCGUGGGGAUCGAACAGGAUUAGAUACCCUAGUAGUC
This 459-nucleotide ribosomal RNA is filed under the name uncultured bacterium. RNAcentral's name for it is "partial 16S ribosomal RNA". It matches the Rfam family "Bacterial small subunit ribosomal RNA", at positions 338 to 795 of the family's 1533-position model. The record is from RNAcentral.